UUGGAGGGCAAGUCUGGUGCCAGCAGCCGCGGUAAUUCCAGCUCCAAUAGCGUAUAUUAAAGUUGUUGCAGUUAAAAAGCUCGUAGUUGAAUUUCGGGAUCAAGGAAUCGGUCAUGCCUCGGUAUGUACUGGUUUUAUUGGUUCUCACCUUCUAAAGAACCAUAAUGUCAUUCAUUUGAUGUUAUGGGGAAUUAGGACUGUUACCUUGAAAAAAUUAGAGUGUUUAAAGCAGGCUUACGCUUGAAUACAUUAGCAUGGAAUAAUGAAAUAGGACAUCAGAUUCUAUUUUGUUGGUUUCUAGGAUCGAUGUAAUGAUUAAUAGGGAUAGUUGGG
Molecule: ribosomal RNA, 333 nt
Filed under: Glomus sp.
Lineage: Eukaryota; Fungi; Glomeromycota; Glomeromycetes; Glomerales; Glomeraceae
Description: SSU rRNA
Rfam family: Eukaryotic small subunit ribosomal RNA
Source: RNAcentral